ACUCAAAUGAAUUGACGGGGGCCCGCACAAGCAGUGGAGUAUGUGGUUUAAUUCGAAGCAACGCGAAGAACCUUACCAGGGCUUGACAUCCUCUGCCAACUGUAGAGAUACAGGGUUUCCUUCGGGAACAGAGAGACAGGUGGUGCAUGGUUGUCGUCAGCUCGUGUCGUGAGAUGUUGGGUUAAGUCCCGCAACGAGCGCAACCCCUGUCGUCAGUUGCCAUCAGGUUAAGCUGGGCACUUUGGCGAGACCGCCGUUGACAAAACGGAGGAAGGUGGGGACGACGUCAAAUCAUCAUGCCCCUUAUGUCCUGGGCUACACACGUACUACAAUGGCAACAACAACGGGCAGCCAAGCCGCGAGGCCAAGCCAAUCCCUGAAAUGUUGUCUCAGUUCGGAUUGCAGGCUGCAACUCGCCUGCAUGAAGUCGGAAUUGCUAGUAAUGGCAGGUCAGCAUACUGCCGUGAAUACGUUCCCGGGCCUUGUACACACCGCCCGU
This 499-nucleotide ribosomal RNA is filed under the name uncultured bacterium. RNAcentral describes it as "bacterial SSU rRNA". It matches the Rfam family "Bacterial small subunit ribosomal RNA", at positions 899 to 1397 of the family's 1533-position model. The record is from RNAcentral.